UUUUCGCUUUCCAAAUAAGGCGUGCGCGCUCCCGCGGCAGGGGAGAACCGCGGCUGGUUCUUCCAGCUUGGCUGCGCGCGGGGCAUUGUGGGUCUUGUACGUGCACGCACGCAGGCUGGCAGGCGCGGGCGCGCACGCAACAACUAAAUUUGUCUUCAUAACAAGCAAGCAGGGCUGUGGACAGUAUUAUACGCGCAUUCUCAGCAGCAUGAUGAAAAUAAAAUGGAAAAUAUUUUUUUUAUUGUUGGACUCGGUGGACUCGGUCAAAAUCAGCACCGAGACAACAGACUUCCUCGCCAACAGAAAGCAGAAUGUGAGGUUACAUCGCUGUGAGUCUGACGUGGUGCACUGCAGCAAAGGUGUCCCCCAGGAAGUUCUCCGACGACACGGCCAUUGUUGGAUAUGUUUCGGAGGGGAACGAUCUGGAAUACAGGACGGUCAUCAAGGACUUUGUCAGGUGGUGCGAGCUCAACUUCAGCUGAACACCAUGCAGCCAGACGGAGAUGAUUGUGAGCUUCAGGAGGACAGCACCCUAUACUUCACUUUUUUCUUCAACUUGGCAAUUAUUCUUUAUAAAAAUGUCCAGUUUUUUUUAUAGGGCAACUUCGGUUUUUUUUUUCUCGGCGCGCCGCACCUUCGGCCCGCCCUCUCGGCGUCAUCUCGGCGCGGCGCCUAGAGGGCGGGCCGAGGGUGCGCCGCGGCAGGAGGGCGCCGCCGCAGGAGGGCGCUUAGUUGCUCCGAGGGGGCGCUGCGUCGCACCGAGAGGGCGCCGUACCAGGCCGAAAGGGAGCCGCUCUGCGCUGUGAUGGUGGGCCUAUAGUGUUCGCUGCCCCGAGAGGGCGGAGGGUGCUACGAAGGCGCGGCGAGAGCGCGCUGCAUGUACCACGGUGCGGUGCCCUCUAGGCGCGGCGCGCUGCCGUGCAGCGCUCACUCGGCGCGGCGUCCUCUCGGCGCGGCGCCCUCUCGGCAUAGCUGCGCGCGCUCUCUCGGUGCGGGGCGCUCUCGGCGUGCUCACCCACUGAAAAAGAUACACAUUUGCUGUUUUGAUGCCUUUUCAUUUAUCUUAUAGUUCCUUUGAUCUGCAGACAACAUAUGGUUUUGACCGAGAUGAUCAAUAUGUGAUGCCUGUUUUUGUACAGGAAAUGAUCUCUGCAUGGUAAUAUUUUUUUUUCCUUCAACUUGACAAUUAUAUUUAUAAAACAUUUCAA
This is a long non-coding RNA of Syngnathus typhle (broad-nosed pipefish), 1208 nucleotides long. RefSeq lists it as uncharacterized. NCBI's taxonomy places the organism in Eukaryota, Metazoa, Chordata, Actinopteri, Syngnathiformes, Syngnathidae. The record is from RefSeq and is a predicted model, not a curated record. The transcript is spliced from 2 exons.